Molecule: ribosomal RNA, 497 nt
Filed under: uncultured bacterium
Lineage: Bacteria
Description: partial 16S ribosomal RNA
Rfam family: Bacterial small subunit ribosomal RNA
Source: RNAcentral
GAUGAACGCUGGCGGCGUUCCUAAUACAUGCAAGUCGAGCGAACGGACGAGAAGCUUGCUUCUCUGAUGUUAGCGGCGGACGGGUGAGUAACACGUGGAUAACCUACCUAUAAGACUGGGAUAACUUCGGGAAACCGGAGCUAAUACCGGAUAAUAUUUUGAACCGCAUGGUUCAAAAGUGAAAGACGGUCUUGCUGUCACUUAUAGAUGGAUCCGCGCUGCAUUAGCUAGUUGGUAAGGUAACGGCUUACCAAGGCAACGAUGCAUAGCCGACCUGAGAGGGUGAUCGGCCACACUGGAACUGAGACACGGUCCAGACUCCUACGGGAGGCAGCAGUAGGGAAUCUUCCGCAAUGGGCGAAAGCCUGACGGAGCAACGCCGCGUGAGUGAUGAAGGUCUUCGGAUCGUAAAACUCUGUUAUUAGGGAAGAACAUAUGUGUAAGUAACUGUGCACAUCUUUACGGUACCUAAUCAGAAAGCCACGGCUAACUACGUG